RNAcentral lists this long non-coding RNA (279 nucleotides) under Helianthus annuus (common sunflower). The stretch from base 1 to 105 matches the Rfam family "Small nucleolar RNA Z107/R87". The record is from RNAcentral. Lineage: Eukaryota; Viridiplantae; Streptophyta; Magnoliopsida; Asterales; Asteraceae.
GAUCGCAGUGACGACUCGGAAAAUUCAAGCUCAACAGACCGGAAUGCAGGCAUCUCUAUUCAUAGAUUUGUUUGCGUGUCGAUAUUCCCGCUGAACUGAGCGAUCUCUUCUCAAAAAUUAUUUUUACUUUGAUGUUUUUUUUCAUUGAAAUUUGAUGUUUUUGCUUUGGCGAAUGAAAUAUGUUACGAUGAAGAUUCAAAGCUCCCUCUUCUGAUAUAAAAGUUGAGGAAACUCUGCUGGCAGAAUCGAACCUAAUUUAACUUCAUGCCUACUGAGUAA